Molecule: unclassified non-coding RNA, 194 nt
Filed under: uncultured Chaetothyriales
Lineage: Eukaryota; Fungi; Ascomycota; Eurotiomycetes; Chaetothyriales
Description: sequence contains ITS1
Source: RNAcentral
CCGAGUUAGGGUCUUCUCAGGGCCCGACCUCCUUACCUUUGUCUACCUUACCUCACGUUGCUUCGGCGGGCCCGUCCUCUUUUGGACCGCCGGAGGGUUGACCCCCUCUGGCCCGUUGCCCGCCGACAGCCCCCAACCAAAAAACUCUUGCAAUAACUGUGGAAUUGUCUGAAUCUUGCUUCUAAAAUAACCAA